RNAcentral lists this ribosomal RNA (797 nucleotides) under uncultured bacterium. RNAcentral describes it as "bacterial SSU rRNA". It matches the Rfam family "Bacterial small subunit ribosomal RNA", at positions 8 to 796 of the family's 1533-position model. The record is from RNAcentral.
AGAGUUUGAUCAUGGCUCAGAACGAACGCUGGCGGCGUGGAUUAGGCAUGCAAGUCGUGCGCGAAAGUUCCCUUCGGGGAGCGAGUAGAGCGGCGAACUGGUGAGUAACAGGUGGAUAACGUGCCCUAAAGUGGGGGAUAACACGGGGAAACUCGUGCUAAUACCGCAUGUGUUUUUCGGGACUCUGGUCCUGAAAAAUAAAGAAGUGAUUCGCUUUAGGAUCGGUCCGCCCCCGAUUAGCUUGUUGGUGAGGUAACGGCUCACCAAGGCAACGAUCGGUAGCUGGUCUGAGAGGAUGGUCAGCCACACUGGGACUGAGAUACGGCCCAGACUCCUACGGGGGGCAGCAGUCUAGAGGCUUCGGCAAUGGGGGAAACCCUGACCGAGCGACGCCGCGUGCGGGAUUGAAGGCCUUCGGGUCGUAAACCGCUGUCAGGUGGGAAGAAUGCCCGUAUGGUGAAUACGGGAGCGACGGUACCACCAGAGGAAGCCCCGGCUAACUCCGUGCCAGCAGCCGCGGUAAUACGGAGGGGGCAAGCGUUGUUCGGAUUUACUGGGCGUAAAGAGUUCGUAGGCGGUUGCGUAAGUCUGGUGUGAAAUCUUCGCCGCUUAACGGGAAGAGGCCACUGGAAACUGCGCAACUUGAGUAUGGUAGAGGCAGACGGAAUUCCUGGUGUAGCGGUGGAAUGUGUAGAUAUCAGGAAGAACAUCGGUGGCGAAGGCGGUCUGCUGGGCCAUUACUGACGCUGAGGAACGAAAGCGUGGGGAGCAAACGGGAUUAGAUACCCUAGUAGUCC